UUCCGGUUGAUCCCGCCGGAAGCCACUGCUAUCGGGCUCCGACUAAGCCAUGCGAGUUUUGGGGCUCUUCGGAGCACCGGCGGACGGCUCAGUAACACGUGGACAACCUACCCUCGGGUGGGGGAUAACCUCGGGAAACUGAGGCUAAUACCCCAUAGGUCUCAGAUACUGGAAUGUUCUGAGGCUGAAAACUCCGGCGCCCGAGGAUGGGUCUGCGGCCUAUCAGGUAGUUGGUGGUGUAAAGGACCACCAAGCCUACGACGGGUACGGGCCCUGAGAGGGGGAGCCCGGAGAUGGAAUCUGAGACACGAUUCCAGGCCCUACGGGGCGCAGCAGGCGCGAAACCUUCGCAAUGCGCGAAAGCGCGACGAGGGGAGCCCGAGUGCCCUUCCUUCGGGGAGGGCUUUUCUGGAGCCUAAAAAGCUCCAGGAAUAAGGGCUGGGCAAGACGGGUGCCAGCCGCCGCGGUAAUACCCGCAGCUCAAGUGGUGGCCGCUAUUAUUGAGCCUAAAGCGUCCGUAGCCGGACCCGUAAAUCCCUGGGUAAAUCCUGGCGCUCAACGUCAGGAAUUCCGGGGAGACUGCGGGUCUUGGGACCGGGAGAGGCCGGAGGUACU
This 615-nucleotide ribosomal RNA is filed under the name uncultured archaeon. RNAcentral describes it as "bacterial SSU rRNA". It matches the Rfam family "Archaeal small subunit ribosomal RNA", at positions 1 to 619 of the family's 1478-position model. The record is from RNAcentral.